RNAcentral lists this long non-coding RNA (890 nucleotides) under Brassica rapa (field mustard). RNAcentral's name for it is "long non-coding RNA (BRAP_LNC006956)". Lineage: Eukaryota; Viridiplantae; Streptophyta; Magnoliopsida; Brassicales; Brassicaceae. The record is from RNAcentral.
UCAGCAUUGAUGAAACACAUGUCCUUCUCUGCAAUCUUGGGUGAGAUUGCUGCAAACAGUGUAGGAAACGGCAUCCAAGGAGAUUUGGGUUUCGUAGUGCUCGAACCCACACUGUUUGCGCUCCCUGAACCUCUUUCAGGCCCCUGUUUACAACCAAACAACCAAUGUAUAGAUGUUCAAUUCCUUUGGUGACAAGAUCUUAUACAAAAGAAAAAUAAUCAAAGGAGCAAACUGACGUUUGAGUCUACCUGCGGGGGAGGAAGAUCCUUGGGUCCUUCCAAAGUGACACCUGAGUUAUCAUGCCUAGCAACCAUAUCACCUGCAGGAACCAGUGUAUGUCAUCGACUUCUUAUAUUGCACAAAACAGAAUUUAAUGGAUCGAAAUACCCAUUAAACCGUGAGUAUCUCCAUCCGACCCCCGGAUGAUUCAAUCAAAGACGUGUCUCUUGAAACCAAACGUGUUUAAUAACACCGGAGGUCGUUAGGUUUUAUCACACAUGGGAUCCUUUUUUUAUUCUUUAUAAUUUUAUCGGUUGAGACCUGAGCUUCAGCCAGAUCUAUAAGCUGUCUCCCUUUCAAUGCGUCAUCAGUUAUGAUUUUAAUUUGUUGAACAAGUUCAUAUGUGAGGAAUGAAAAGGGAACAAACUAAUCACCUUCAGCAUUGUGAGGAACAGACAGCUUGAACCUAACAACAUAUUCAGGGAAUAUAUGGGUAUUCAUAUUGAUGUUCCAGACAAUGUAAUUUUUCGGAUUCUCGACAUCAUCGACUCCAUUGUCAUACUCUUCUCCACCAGAGAAAAACUGUGCUUUAUCACCACGAAGAAGCUCCAUGUUCCCCAUUAUUACACGGCACAAAACCAUGUACCGUACUCCAUUUUCGUCAAUAUCAC